RNAcentral lists this ribosomal RNA (195 nucleotides) under uncultured Gammaproteobacteria bacterium. Its description in RNAcentral is "16S ribosomal RNA". It matches the Rfam family "Bacterial small subunit ribosomal RNA", at positions 197 to 380 of the family's 1533-position model. Lineage: Bacteria; Pseudomonadati; Pseudomonadota; Gammaproteobacteria. The record is from RNAcentral.
CGGGGGAAAGCGGGGGAUCUUCGGACCUCGUGCUAUCAGAUGAGCCCGCGUGAGAUUAGCUUGUUGGUGGGGUAAUGGCCUACCAAGGCGCCGAUCUCUAGCUGGUCUGAGAGGAUGAUCAGCCACACUGGGACUGAGACACGGCCCAGACUCCUACGGGAGGCAGCAGUGGGGAAUAUUGGACAAUGGGCGCAA